Molecule: ribosomal RNA, 497 nt
Filed under: uncultured bacterium
Lineage: Bacteria
Description: partial 16S ribosomal RNA
Rfam family: Bacterial small subunit ribosomal RNA
Source: RNAcentral
GAUGAACGCUGGCGGCGUGCCUAAUACACGCAAGUCGAGCGAACAGACGAGGAGCUUGCUCCUCUGAUGUUAGCGGCUGACGGGUGAGUAACACGUGGAGAACCUACCUAUAAAACUGGGAUAGCUUCGGGAAACCGGAGCAAAUACCGGAUAACAUGUUGAACUGCAAGGGUGAACAGUGAAAGACGGUGUUGCUGUCACUUAUAGACGGAUCCGCGCCGCACUAGCAGGUUGGUAAGGUAAAGACUUACCAAGGCAACGUCGUGUAUCCGACCCGAGGGGGGAAUCGGCCCCACUGGAACGGAGACACGUUCCAUACUCCUAAGGCAGGCAGCAGUAGGGAAUCUGCCGCAAUAGGCGAAAGCCUGACGGAGCGACGCAGCGUGAGUGAAGAAGAUCUUCGGAUCGUAAAACUCUGUUAUUAGGGAAGAACAAAUGUGUAAGUAACUAUGCACGUCUUGACGGUACCUAGUCAGAAAACCACGGCUAACUACGUG